RNAcentral lists this transfer RNA (75 nucleotides) under Methanobacterium sp. BRmetb2. RNAcentral's name for it is "tRNA-Arg". It matches the Rfam family "tRNA". Rfam says of the family: Transfer RNA (tRNA) molecules are approximately 80 nucleotides in length. Their secondary structure includes four short double-helical elements and three loops (D, anti-codon, and T loops). Further hydrogen bonds mediate the characteristic L-shaped molecular structure. tRNAs have two regions of fundamental functional importance: the anti-codon, which is responsible for specific mRNA codon recognition, and the 3' end, to which the tRNAs corresponding amino acid is attached (by aminoacyl-tRNA synthetases). tRNAs cope with the degeneracy of the genetic code in two manners: having more than one tRNA (with a specific anti-codon) for a particular amino acid; and 'wobble' base-pairing, i.e. permitting non-standard base-pairing at the 3rd anti-codon position. The record is from RNAcentral. Lineage: Archaea; Methanobacteriati; Methanobacteriota; Methanobacteria; Methanobacteriales; Methanobacteriaceae.
GGGCCCGUAGUCUAGUCAGGAUAAGACGUGGGACUUCGGAUCCCAAGAUCGGGGGUUCAAAUCCCCCCGGGUCCG